UANCACAAUCACUUGUCCCUUAAAUGGGGACGCGUAUGAAAGGCAACAUGAGAGAAAACCUGUCUCCUAAGGAAUGCCAAUGAAAUUGAACUGCCAGUUCAAAAGCUGGUAUAAAAAAGCAAGACAAAAAGACCCUGUGGAACUUUAAUUAACUGCUUUACAUAAUAAAACCAGUAAUUUCAGUUGGGACAACUUUAGAAAAAAUAAACUUCCUAAUUUUACUAGACUAACUAGUCCAAAACAACCAUGACCCAGUAGUACUGAUUAACGAAACAAGCUACCCCAGGGAUAACAGCGCUACCUUCUCAAAGAGUUCAUAUCAACAAGAAGAUCUACGACCUCGAUGUUGGAUCAGGGUACCCAGACGGUGCAGCAGCUGUCAAUGGUUCGUUUGUUCAACGAUUAAUACCCU
RNAcentral lists this ribosomal RNA (412 nucleotides) under Furcifer lateralis (carpet chameleon). RNAcentral describes it as "partial 16S ribosomal RNA". It matches the Rfam family "Bacterial large subunit ribosomal RNA", at positions 1957 to 2597 of the family's 2925-position model. The record is from RNAcentral. Lineage: Eukaryota; Metazoa; Chordata; Lepidosauria; Squamata; Chamaeleonidae.